UACGUAUGGUGCAAGCGUUAUCCGGAUUUACUGGGCGUAAAGGGAGCGCAGGCGGCGCGCCAAGUCUGAUGUGAAACCCCGGGGCUCAACCCCGGGCAUGCAUUGGAAACUGGCGGGCUGGAGUGCCGGAGAGGUAGGCGGAAUUCCUAGUGUAGCGGUGAAAUGCGUAGAUAUUAGGAGGAACACCAGUGGCGAAGGCGGCCUGCUGGACGAUGACUGACGUUGAGGCUCGAAAGCGUGGGGAGCAAACAGG
Molecule: ribosomal RNA, 253 nt
Filed under: uncultured bacterium
Lineage: Bacteria
Description: partial 16S ribosomal RNA
Rfam family: Bacterial small subunit ribosomal RNA
Source: RNAcentral